CUAUAACUAGCUAGAAGCUUUAAUCGCCUUAUUUAUUAUAAUAAUAAUAAUAAAUAUGGCUUCAGCUGCAAAAGUAUACAUGGCGUGAUAUUGAUCCGGCUCAUCUAUAUCUUCAAGUUCAAUCAUCCAUAUUCAUAUCAAUUUCAGACGAGCCGAAUCAAUAUCACUCUUGUUUGCUUCAUUGCAUAUUAAUUAUAUACUUCAUUUAUAAGUUAUAGUUUGCCAUAUAUAUAUUAGAUUGAUUCUGCAGAAGUAGACAGGAGUGGUGUUGUUUCUGCUCAUCUUAUUAAAUAAUGAAUGAAUGAAUGACAUUUGCUUACUUAUAAGACGAGCCGAAUCAAUAUCACUCCAGUACACCUCACU
Molecule: long non-coding RNA, 363 nt
Filed under: Medicago truncatula (barrel medic)
Lineage: Eukaryota; Viridiplantae; Streptophyta; Magnoliopsida; Fabales; Fabaceae
Source: RNAcentral